Molecule: non-coding RNA, 30 nt
Filed under: Rattus norvegicus (Norway rat)
Lineage: Eukaryota; Metazoa; Chordata; Mammalia; Rodentia; Muridae
Source: RNAcentral
UAUGGAGUUGAUUUGCAUAUCAGGGUCAGU